Molecule: ribosomal RNA, 327 nt
Filed under: uncultured eukaryote
Lineage: Eukaryota
Description: partial 18S ribosomal RNA
Rfam family: Eukaryotic small subunit ribosomal RNA
Source: RNAcentral
CCCUUAGAUGUUCUGGGCUGCACGCGCGCUACACUGAAGCGUUCAACGAGUAUUCACCUUGCCCGGGAGGGUUGGGUAAUCUUUUCAAAACGCUUCGUGAUGGGGAUAGAUUAUUGCAAUUAUUAAUCUUCAACGAGGAAUUCCUAGUAAGCGCGAGUCAUCAGCUCGUGCUGAUUACGUCCCUGCCCUUUGUACACACCGCCCGUCGCUCCUACCGAUUGAGUGGUCCGGUGAGGCUUUGGGAUCUGAGCGGAAAGAGCGUUUCGCUGUUUCUGCUCGGAAAACUCAGUCGAACCUUAUCAUUUAGAGGAAGGAGAAGUCGUAACA